CGUAGGGUGCGAGCGUUAAUCGGAAUUACUGGGCGUAAAGCGUGCGCAGGCGGUUUUGUAAGCCAGAUGUGAAAUCCCCGGGCUUAACCUGGGAAUGGCAUUUGGGACUGCAAGGCUGGAGUUUGGCAGAGGAGACUGGAAUUCCCGGUGUAGCAGUGAAAUGCGUAGAUAUCGGGAGGAAUACCGAUGGCGAAGGCAGGUCUCUGGGCUAUAACUGACGCUCAUGCACGAAAGCGUGGGGAGCAAACAGGAUUAGAUACCCUGGUAGUCCACGCCCUAAACGAUGUCGACUGGUUGUUGGGGGUUUGACACUCUCAGUAACGAAGCUAACGCGUGAAGUCGACCGCCUGGGGAGUACGGCCGCAAGGUUA
This 371-nucleotide ribosomal RNA is filed under the name uncultured organism. RNAcentral's name for it is "bacterial SSU rRNA". It matches the Rfam family "Bacterial small subunit ribosomal RNA", at positions 526 to 896 of the family's 1533-position model. The record is from RNAcentral.